GACGAACUUUGGCGGCGUGCUUAACACAUGCAAGUCGAACGGAAAGGCCCUGCUUUUGUGGGGUGCUCGAGUGGCGAACGGGUGAGUAACACGUGAGUAACCUGCCCUUGACUUUGGGAUAACUUCAGGAAACUGGGGCUAAUACCGGAUAGGAGCUCCUGCUGCAUGGUGGGGGUUGGAAAGUUUCGGCGGUUGGGGAUGGACUCGCGGCUUAUCAGCUUGUUGGUGGGGUAGUGGCUUACCAAGGCUUUGACGGGUAGCCGGCCUGAGAGGGUGACCGGCCACAUUGGGACUGAGAUACGGCCCAGACUCCUACGGGAGGCAGCAGUGGGGAAUAUUGCACAAUGGGCGGAAGCCUGAUGCAGCAACGCCGCGUGCGGGAUGACGGCCUUCGGGUUGUAAACCGCUUUCGCCUGUGACGAAGCGUGAGUGACGGUAAUGGGUAAAGAAGCACCGGCUAACUACGUGCCAGCAGCCGCGGUGAUACGUAGGGUGCGAGCGUUGUCCGGAUUUAUUGGGCGUAAAGGGCUCGUAGGUGGUUGAUCGCGUCGGAAGUGUAAUCUUGGGGCUUAACCCUGAGCGUGCUUUCGAUACGGGUUGACUUGAGGAAGGUAGGGGAGAAUGGAAUUCCUGGUGGAGCGGUGGAAUGCGCAGAUAUCAGGAGGAACACCAGUGGCGAAGGCGGUUCACUGGGCCUUUCCUGACGCUGAGGAGCGAAAGCGUGGGGAGCGAACAGGCUUAGAUACCCUGGUAGUCCACGCUGUAAACGGUGGGUACUAGGUGUGGGGUCCAUUCCACGGGUUCCGUGCCGUAGCUAACGCUUUAAGUACCCCGCCUGGGGAGUACGGCCGCAAGGCUAAAACUCAAAGGAAUUGACGGGGCCCCGCACAAGCGGCGGAGCAUGCGGAUUAAUUCGAUGCAACGCGUAGAACCUUACCUGGGUUUGACAUGGAUCGGGAGUGCUCAGAGAUGGGUGUGCCUCUUUUGGGGUCGGUUCACAGGUGGUGCAUGCCUGUCGUCAGCUCGUGUCGUGAGAUGUUGGGUUAAGUCCCGCAACGAGCGCAACCCUUGUUCACUGUUGCCAGCACGUUAUGGUGGGGACUCAGUGGAGACCGCCGGGGUCAACUCGGAGGAAGGUGGGGAUGACGUCAAGUCAUCAUGCCCCUUAUGUCCAGGGCUUCACGCAUGCUACAAUGGCUGGUACAGAGAGUGGCGAGCCUGUGAGGGUGAGCGAAUCUCGGAAAGCCGGUCUCAGUUCGGAUUGGGGUCUGCAACUCGACCUCAUGAAGUCGGAGUCGCUAGUAAUCGCAGAUCAGCAACGCUGCGGUGAAUACGUUCCCGGGGC
RNAcentral lists this ribosomal RNA (1345 nucleotides) under uncultured bacterium. RNAcentral's name for it is "partial 16S ribosomal RNA". It matches the Rfam family "Bacterial small subunit ribosomal RNA", at positions 28 to 1380 of the family's 1533-position model. The record is from RNAcentral.